UGGGACGGCCGGGGGGCCGCCUUCCUUCCCGUACGGGAGGGGGGGAGGAACUUCCGGACUCCAGAGGACGCGGUGCCCGUCGAAAGGCGGGACGCGGGGGACGCAAGGCUCCCGCGAUGGAAAGUGCCACAGAGAACAUACCGCCCCGGCGCGAGCCGGGGUAAGGGUGAAAAGGCGAGGUAAGGGCUCACCGCUCCGGGGGCGACCCCGGGGGCUAGGCAAACCCCGUCGGGAGCAAGGCAUAGGGCGGGCAGGCGCGGUCCGCGCCCCGGCGUAGGCCGGGAUCCGUCCGGUGGCUGCACGAGAGAAAUGGUCCCCGCCCGGCGCGAGCCGGGGCACAGAAUCCGGGGUAUAGGCCGUCCCAGACG
RNAcentral lists this RNase P RNA (368 nucleotides) under Elusimicrobiota bacterium. RNAcentral describes it as "Elusimicrobia bacterium RNase P RNA component class A". It matches the Rfam family "Bacterial RNase P class A". Rfam says of the family: Ribonuclease P (RNase P) is a ubiquitous endoribonuclease, found in archaea, bacteria and eukarya as well as chloroplasts and mitochondria. Its best characterised activity is the generation of mature 5'-ends of tRNAs by cleaving the 5'-leader elements of precursor-tRNAs. The record is from RNAcentral. Lineage: Bacteria; Pseudomonadati; Elusimicrobiota.